UACCCUUCUGUGGUGUAGUUGGUAGCACCUUGACUUAGCAAUUCUAAGUCGUAGGUUCAAGUCCCGGUCGGGGUAA
This is a non-coding RNA of Halocaridina rubra (Hawaiian volcano shrimp), 76 nucleotides long. Lineage: Eukaryota; Metazoa; Arthropoda; Malacostraca; Decapoda; Atyidae. The record is from the annotation of a GenBank genome assembly.